This 406-nucleotide ribosomal RNA is filed under the name uncultured bacterium. RNAcentral's name for it is "partial 16S ribosomal RNA". It matches the Rfam family "Bacterial small subunit ribosomal RNA", at positions 28 to 526 of the family's 1533-position model. The record is from RNAcentral.
GCUGAACGCUAGCUACAGGCUUAACACAUGCAAGUCGAGGGACCGGCGCACGGGUGAGUAACACGUAUACAACCUGCCCUUUACUCGGGGAUAGCCUUUCGAAAGAAAGAUUAAUACCCGAUGUAAAGGAUGGGGAUGCGUUCCAUUAGGUUGUUGGUGAGGUAACGGCUCACCAAGCCUUCGAUGGAUAGGGGUUCUGAGAGGAAGGUCCCCCACAUUGGAACUGAGACCCGGUCCAAACUCCUACGGGAGGCAGCAGUGAGGAAUAUUGGUCAAUGGGCGUUAGCCUGAACCAGCCAAUUAGCUUGAAGGAUGAAGGCUUAUGGGUCGUAAACCUCUUUUAUAUAAGAAUAUGUAUUAUAUGAAUAAGGAUCGGCUAACUCCGUGCCAGCAGCCGCGGUAAUUC